ACGCACGCUGGCGGCGUGCUUCACACAUGCAAGUCGAACGGAAAGGCCCCCUUGUGGGGUACUCGAGUGGCGAACGGGUGAGUAACACGUGAGUAACCUACCCUUGACUUUGGGAUAACUUCAGGAAACUGGGGCUAAUACCGGAUAGGAGCUCCUGCUGCAUGGUGGGGGUUGGAAAGUUUCGGCGGUUGGGGAUGGACUCGCGGCUUAUCAGCUUGUUGGUGGGGUAGUGGCUCACCAAGGCUUUGACGGGUAGCCGGCCUGAGAGGGUGACCGGCCACAUUGGGACUGAGAUACGGCCCAGACUCCUACGGGAGGCAGCAGUGGGGAAUAUUGCACAAUGGGCGGAAGCCUGAUGCAGCAACGCCGCGUGCGGGAUGACGGCCUUCGGGUUGUAAACCGCUUUCGCCUGUGACGAAGCGUGAGUGACGGUAAUGGGUAAAGAAGCACCGGCUAACUACGUG
RNAcentral lists this ribosomal RNA (464 nucleotides) under uncultured bacterium. RNAcentral's name for it is "partial 16S ribosomal RNA". It matches the Rfam family "Bacterial small subunit ribosomal RNA", at positions 29 to 507 of the family's 1533-position model. The record is from RNAcentral.